Molecule: ribosomal RNA, 501 nt
Filed under: Meitanaphis elongallis
Lineage: Eukaryota; Metazoa; Arthropoda; Insecta; Hemiptera; Aphididae
Description: partial 16S ribosomal RNA
Source: RNAcentral
AAAAACAUAGUAUUAAGAUUUAUUUAAUAUAGAAUCUGCUCAAUGAUUUAAUUUAAAUAGCUGCAGUAUUUUGACUGUGCAAAGGUAGCAUAAUAAUUAGUCUUUUAAUUGAGGACUGGAAUGAAAGAUUUGAUGAGAAAUAAACUUUAUUAUUUAUAAAAUUAAAAUUUUAUUUUUAAGUAAAAAAGCUUAAAUAUUUUAAAGGGACGAUAAGACCCUAUAAAACUUUAUAAUUAUUUUUAUUAAAAUAUUUGGUUAAUAAAAAUUUUAAUAUUUUUAAUUAUUUUAUUGGGGUGAUAAAAAAAAUUAUUUAACUUUUUUUAAAAAUUUACAUAAAUUAAUGAUAUUUUGAAUUAAAAAUUUUAAUUAAAUGAAAAAGUUACUUUAGGGAUAACAGCGUAAUUAAUUUUUUAAGUUCAAAUUUAAAAAUUAGUUUGCGACCUCGAUGUUGAAUUAAGAUUAAUCUUAGGUGCAAAAUUUUAAGUUUUAGGUCUGUUCGAC